UAUAGCCACACAAACACACAGUGAUUCCUUGUUUAAAAUUCCUGGAGGUGAAACGUUACUAUGGAUCAGAGCGCGGUCAAGCGAACAUGAAUCAAGACGGAAUGUCAACCAGCAGGUUUCGGUGAGAAAAUUGUGGUUAAAAAGUCAGUUCUUACGGGCGAAAAGCUGAGCUUGCGCCGUCCGUACAGCUGCCGUCAACUCCCCUGAGACACUGAGCGUCAAGACACCCGUGGAGACACUCUUCCGACUAUCAGUUGAGAGAGAGAGCAAGAGAGAGAGAGAGAGAGAGAGAGGGGAUGUGAAUCACUGCGUGAGAUGGAUAUCAGAAAGUUUUUCGCCCGCAGCAGGGAAGAAGCAGCGAGGAAUGAAGUCGAGACCCAGGAUGGACCGCUCGUCGGGACCCAGGAUGGACCGCUCGCCUGUGUAUCGGUUGGGGACAUCUCUACGAUGCUGAGCCGACUCCGCUUGGGAUGGUUUCCUGUGGACGGGACUCUUGCUGCUGUCUUGGAUCCGCUUUGAACUGAACUGUCGCGGCUGUGUUGGAGCCACUAUGGAUUUAACUUUCACAGUAUCAUGUUAGACCCGCUCGACAUCCAUUGCUUUCGGUCCCCUAGAGGGGGGUGGGGGGGUUGCCCACAUCUGAGGUCCUCUCCAAGGUUUCUCAUAGUCAGCAUUGUCACUGGCGUCCCACUGGAUGUGAAUACUCCCUGCCCACUGGGUGUGAGUUUUCCUAGCCCUUUUGCGGGGUUCUUCCGAGUCGUAGUCGUAAUGGUUUGUACAGUCCUUUGAGACAUUUGUGAUUUAGGGCUAUAUAAAUAAACAUUGAUUGAUUGAUU
Nerophis ophidion (straightnose pipefish) is the source of this 836-nucleotide long non-coding RNA. RefSeq lists it as uncharacterized. The record is from RefSeq and is a predicted model, not a curated record. The transcript is spliced from 4 exons. NCBI's taxonomy places the organism in Eukaryota, Metazoa, Chordata, Actinopteri, Syngnathiformes, Syngnathidae.